CCUACGGGGGGCUGCAGUCGAGAAUCUUCGGCAAUGGGCGCAAGCCUGACCGAGCGACGCCGCGUGCGGGAUGAAGGCUUUCGGGUUGUAAACCGCUGUCAGAGGGGAUGAAAUGUAGUUGGGUUCUCCCUUCUACUUGACAUAUCCUCAGAGGAAGUACGGGCUAAGUUCGUGCCAGCAGCCGCGGUAAGACGAACCGUACGAACGUUAUUCGGAAUUACUGGGCUUAAAGGGUGCGUAGGCUGCGUAGUAAGUUGGGUGUGAAAUCCCUCGGCUCAACCGAGGAACUGCGCCCAAAACUACUAUGCUCGAGGGAGACAGAGGUGAGCGGAACUUAGGGUGGAGCGGUGAAAUGCGUUGAUAUCCUAAGGAACACCCGUGGCGAAAGCGGCUCACUGGGUCUCUUCUGACGCUGAGGCACGAAAGCUAGGGUAGCGAAC
This 440-nucleotide ribosomal RNA is filed under the name uncultured bacterium. RNAcentral's name for it is "bacterial SSU rRNA". It matches the Rfam family "Bacterial small subunit ribosomal RNA", at positions 338 to 773 of the family's 1533-position model. The record is from RNAcentral.